GAUGAAGAACGUAGCGAAAUGCGAUAAGUAAUGUGAAUUGCAGAAUUCAGUGAAUCAUCGAAUCUUUGAACGCACAUUGCGCCCAUUAGUAUUCUAGUGGGCAUGCCUGUUCGAGCGUCAUUUCAACCCUUAAGCCUAGCUUAGUAUUGGGAAUCGACUUUACUGUCGUUCCUCAAAUUCAACGGCGGAUUUAUAGCAAUCUCUGAACGUAGUAAUUUUUUUCCUCGUUUUUGAAAUACUAUAAACCUCAGCCGCUAAACCCCCAAUUUUUUUAUGGUUGACCUCGGAUCAGGUAGGAAUACCCGCUGAACUUAAGCAUAUCAUAAGCGGAGGA
This 334-nucleotide unclassified non-coding RNA is filed under the name soil metagenome. Its description in RNAcentral is "partial contains 5.8S ribosomal RNA, internal transcribed spacer 2, and large subunit ribosomal RNA". The stretch from base 1 to 120 matches the Rfam family "5.8S ribosomal RNA", at positions 35 to 154 of the family's 154-position model. The record is from RNAcentral.